CGGGGUGUAGCGCAGCCUGGUAGCGCACUCGCUUUGGGAGCGAGUGGUCGCCGGUUCGAAUCCGGCCACCCCGA
RNAcentral lists this transfer RNA (74 nucleotides) under Armatimonadota bacterium. Its description in RNAcentral is "Armatimonadetes bacterium tRNA-Pro". It matches the Rfam family "tRNA". From Rfam's summary of the family: Transfer RNA (tRNA) molecules are approximately 80 nucleotides in length. Their secondary structure includes four short double-helical elements and three loops (D, anti-codon, and T loops). The record is from RNAcentral. Lineage: Bacteria; Bacillati; Armatimonadota. RNAcentral also lists the same sequence under 2 other names.